Molecule: long non-coding RNA, 3203 nt
Filed under: Trifolium pratense (red clover)
Lineage: Eukaryota; Viridiplantae; Streptophyta; Magnoliopsida; Fabales; Fabaceae
Description: long non-coding RNA (TPRA_LNC009003)
Source: RNAcentral
UAUUCCACACACAUACAAAUUCACAACUAUAAAAAAUCAUAUUAGAAAUGUGAGACAACACUUAAUUAUUGGAUAAUUGGUAGAGUACUUGGGAUGAACACAACCAGAGUAUUGCAUUUACCUGGGUUAUUCUCCAAUUCUAAUAUCUAAAUCACCAAGGCAACUUCCAAAUGAUAAAGAGUUGCACGCUAUUCUCUUCCUCUAUGUUCACAUCAUGUAGUGUACUCAAAUUAGAUAGAAACAAAAAGGAUUGACAAAUUGAACUAAAUCUUUUGCAAAAUCAUGCUUUACAAUUGAAAUGUGAACAUAAAACAUUUGGACCAAUUGGACCAACCGUAAAUAUUAUAAUUAUUAUUCUGAUUAAGUUUGUGAUGAACAAGAAUGAAAUUUUACCUAGUUUUCAGUAGCAUUUUGCAUUUGUAUUCAAUUUUAUUCUUCAAGACAUCAAUUUGUGAAACUUUCUCCUUAAAUGCACUGAUUUCAGCCUGUAUUAAAGCAGCAGAAAAACAAAUAGACAUUGGCAUAAGUUGAAUUCCAUAUUUAUAGGCUCUAGAGGAGUCACAUUAUGAAAUAUGCUAACACUUUAUAAAUGAACAUGGGAAACAUUGAUUUUCAUAGCAUUGAAUUCCUGAAGAAUCAACAACUCAUGGUGAAUACAAGUGCUCUUAGUAUCGUAGAUAAAUGUUUGCGUAUGAUGUUAUUCUACUUCCAUGAGCUAGUUUAGGACGAAAGUAGGGUCAGAAAAUAGAAGAAGUUGUGGACUAAAGAUAAAAUAUAAUAGAAAAUACAGAACCAAGAAUGAAAGAGCCAUACACCAAAGAGAAUGAAAGGCCUAAUUAAGACAACCAACAGUCACAUUGUGCACCAAGAAAAUCACUAAAAAAUAUGGAUUUAAAACCAAGAAAACAAAAUAAUAGACUAUCAGGAAAUAAACAACUAAUUGUUUUUUAUUCCAUCAAUAUAAAAAUGUAAAUAGCUAAAAGUCAAGGUGCUAACAUUAUCAAAUAUCAUAAACCCUGCACAUUUUAAGGCCCUCAUGUAGGACACCAAAGGAAAAUGCAGAGAACAACAUUCCUAAGAUCGUUGAAUUGUGAGUUGCAUUUUAAAUGACAUUCACAGUAUAUAAACCAUAAAUGUAUUCAUGUCUUACCAUCAAAAUAAACAAAAAUGUUAUGAAUAAAUUUAAAAAGUCUAAACCUUCUGUUCAUCCAACUUUUGUUUGAUUUUCUCUGUAGCCCUUCUCUCUUCCUAUUUCGCUUCUUUUCUCAAAGAUAACAACCUGCAAAAGGAAGCAGAAUUUUAUUGUAGUUGGCUGCAUUUAAAUUAAACGAUAGGAUGUGAGACAACUAGGUGAGUCAAACCUCUUUGCUUCAAGUUAGUCCUCGUCAACUCGAAUUCUCUCAUGAAUAAGAAAACAAAGAUAAAGUGAACUACUUCUCAAAUAUUGACGGCAAAACAUGUAUAUGGCAAAUUGAGAUUCAUACGAUGAUAUUAGGAUAUUUGUAUAUUUUUAACAAGCUAUGGUAGUAUUAUUCAUGAGAAUCAUGACAUGGCAGAUUUCUCUGCACAGGUGCAUAAAGAAAAGCAAGCAAAAAAAUGUUAGAUACCAUUUUGAUGCCAAUUUAUGUCCGUUUAAAAUUAUCUACAUAUGGGACUUUCUCUUCUCUUCUUCUUUCUUCUUUUGAGUCUACUCACUUAAGAUUAUAGCUCAAAAACAUUAAAUGGCUACACGGACUAGUAACAAUAAAUGUAGAAAAUACACUUCCAUCACCCAUCCCUCGUCUCAUCUCAACUCUUCAACAUUCAACACCACACAAAUGUAACCAUAUAUAGAAAGCAUACAUAGACAAAAUAAACAUAACUAUGAAAACAAUGUAUCAAGGGAACCCAAGGAACCCUAUAUGAAAAGAUAGAGCCAUUGAUGCUGCCUAAUUGAUUUAGGAUUUAGCAGUAAGACCAUUGUUACCUUGUUUAAUAGAAGAUUGAGGCAGUUCUUCGCUGCAGCUAAAUCUCCUUUUUUCCAUGAGAUGGGUUCAACUUAACCUGGACCAUAGAAGAGACAAAUACUAAAUAAAUCACUUCAACAUCAAUAUAAAGACAUUAAAUCGCAUAAUUAAAUCACAUAAGUGUAUUUAGUGAGGAUAUGAAAUUUGCCACAAGUUUUAAAGAUAUAUGGUAAGAAUCUAACAUGAAUAGCAUACUUACUUUCACACUGGCAGAUGAAACUGCUGCAUAACACUUGUAGUAUUUGACAGAGAUGUUCAAAAUCUACUUAACACAAAAGAAACUAACUGAGUUGUUGGAAAAUCACUCUGCCAAUGAAUUACCUUCAAUUCUACAUCUAGAUGACCAUCAAUUUCACACUUUAUCUUCUCAAGAAGAUUCAUAUAACUACCUAACACAAUCUAGUCUUUAGUAAAGACUCUUUACUAAUUGGAGAAGAAAACAUGUUUUUUUUUUCCUCAAUUAGCAAUAGAAUGAGUCAAAGUUCAUUUGUAAUCAAUCAAUUAUAAAUAAAAAAAUAGAAUCUUGUUUUUUUCUCACACACUUGAAUAACCGCAAAUCGAAAAGAAAGUAUAAAAUAGAACUAUGAAUUUAUAUAAGAAUUUGAAAUGCUUAAAGAAGGAUUUUUGUUGAAAAGUAAGUAACAACCCAAUAAGGUCGAGUGCAAAAAAUUAUCCCGCAUCUGGGUCAUCAUGUUGAAAGCAAUAGUUAGAAAUUCCAAUAAAAAGGGUUUUUAUUCAGUAAUGAAACUGUGAAUGCAACAAUCAUAAAGCGGGGGAAAAAUAACGUGUGAAUUAAAGCUGAGAAGUGAAACUAGUUUUCGCUACAGAAGAAGGAGAAGAAGAAUAAGAGAAACCCAAAUACCUAAAGACGUUCUGAUGAGACGAGGUUCAAUUGAAAUGAAUGAUGGAGAAUGAUGAAGAUUUUCUGGGUUCAACAAGUUCUGGAACGAUGGACGAUGGUGAAUGAUGGGGGAAGAGGGUUUUAGGGUUUCAACGAGUUCUGGGUUAUGAAUUAUGGUUUCAACAAGUUCUAAGAUUUUGGGGUUUAGGGUUUCAACGAGUUCGUGAUUGAGGUUGCGUGACGACGAAAGACAACUGUGACAGUUUUUGGGUUCAAUUGAUCAGGAAAAUAAUGGAGAGUGAGUGAGGGUGAGUGAACAAUGAUGAAGGAUUUUAGGUUUAAAUUGAUUGAGUGAG